This 119-nucleotide ribosomal RNA is filed under the name Pteropus alecto (black flying fox). The record is from RNAcentral. Lineage: Eukaryota; Metazoa; Chordata; Mammalia; Chiroptera; Pteropodidae.
GUCUACGGCCAUGCUACCCUGAACAAGCCCGAUUCCAUCUGAUCUUGGAAGCUAAGCAGGGUUGGGCCUGGUUAGUACUUGGAUGGGAGACCACCUAGGAAGAUCAGGUGCUAUAGGCA